Molecule: long non-coding RNA, 3149 nt
Filed under: Erythranthe guttata (spotted monkey flower)
Lineage: Eukaryota; Viridiplantae; Streptophyta; Magnoliopsida; Lamiales; Phrymaceae
Description: long non-coding RNA (EGUT_LNC000782)
Source: RNAcentral
CCUCCACCGUAUAUUUGCCCGUUAUAGAUCUUUCCUCUUUAGGAAACCCUUUGCUUCGAUCAACGGUUAUAGAACAAGUGCAUGUGGCAUGUAAGGAACUAGGUGCUUUUCAGGUACAUUACUUAUUAACAAACUAUACAUAUAGUUGCAUAAAAUCAGUUCAACUAUAAAACGAAGUUUUCCAAGAAAGUAAUUACUAGGCAGAGUAUUCUUUGUAUUGAAUAUAUUUAUUUCUUCACUUUUUUUUUUUUUUCCUUUUUUUUACUACGUGCAUGAGCAGACAUGUCGUCAACUUUUUUCUACGUCAUGCAUGCAUUUUUAACGUUACGAAAAUACGUACCACCUUAUGCAGGUGAUCAACCAUGGAAUUCCGAUCCCGAUUGUCGAUCAGGCACUAGAAGUUGCUGCGGAGUUUUUCGAUAUGCCGAACGAAAAAAAGAUGCGUAUUGCCUCUACUGAUGCUCGUGAGCCUGUAAGAUACGGGACCAGUCUGAAUUACAUCAAUGAUAAAGUUAAAUAUUGGAGAGACUUUAUCAAACACUACUCUAAUCCAAUCUCAAGAUGGAUCGAUUUGUGGCCGUCGGAUCCUCCAAGUUACAAGUAAUCAACUCACAAAGCUUCUCUUUUUUUUUUUAAAGUAAAACGGAGAAUAUUUAUUCUCGAAAUCUAAUGUAUUAUUUUUUGCAGGGAGAAAAUGGGGAACUACGCAAAGGCUGUGCAUAUCUUGCAUAAAGAGCUAAUGGAAGUAUUAUUCGAGAGCUUAGGUCUAAAACCAGACUACUUACAGAACGACAUCGAAGAAGGCUCACAGGUCAUGGCAGUAAACUUUUAUCCUGCUUGCCCAGAGCCGAAUCUAACACUAGGCCUUCCCCCACACUCGGAUUAUGGACUGUUAACCAUUUUACUCCAAAAUCAACGGGGCUUAGAAACUAUGGACAACGACGGAAAAUGGCAAUCCGUUCCUGUAAUAAAAGAAGGGUUGGUGGUUCAGUUGGGCGAUCAUAUGGAAGUACUGAGUAAUGGCCGAUACAAAAGUGUCGUACAUCGAGCAUGCCUUAACUCGGAAAAGAGGCGUCUUUCGAUUGCAAGUCUUCACAGUUUGGAAAUAGAGAAGAAAGUAAUACCUGCUCAAGAACUUGUCGAUGAGCAACAUCCGUUGGCCUAUGAAGGAGUGAGCUUCGGAGACUUUCUGCACUUCCUUUCCAAAAACGACAUCCUGGAAGGAAGAUACAUCGACACGUUGAGAAAAAAUCCACAGAUAGAUGCAUAAGAAUUUUGUUUUAUCGUUUUUGUUUCCUUCUGAAUUUACUAGUUACAACAUAUACACUGACGUGUAUGAAUAAAAAUCACUACAGUUUUGAAUGUUCUUUGAGUGUAAAGUAAAGCAUGUCUCGGAUAAAAAGACCUUUGUGUGAAUUGGUGAGAACCCGGUGAAUAUAAUUGAAACCCGUGCAAAUAUCAAGAAAGUGAACAUUGAAAUACAUGCAAAAUAUGGUAAUAGGUAGCAUUUAUUUACGGAAUUUUAUUUUAUCAUGUAGAUUAAACAUUACUCUUUGCUGGGAAAGCCACGAAGUUUCUAACCAUACGAAUCAUUUAAAAAAAUGGAACUCAGAACAUAUUGUUACGGAAUAAAGGAUCGAAAGAUAAGUCAUCUGUAUUUCAGUCUUUUCACUGCUUAUUUGCUUUUACAUGCAUUCUUUUUGCAAAAUACCGGAGAAAGUAAAGCUUUAGUUGUUAAAUGAGUACUUCUCGUAUUAGAACUUUCUUGGUCUCGACUGUUUUAAUAAAAAAAAUUGCAGUUACCAACCAUCAACGCUAGGUUCAAAAACGAAACAAUAGUUGAGAAGGAAAUAAAUGGAAUAUUCUUAUACAAAUAUAUCAAAAGAUUGCUGUGACUGAGCUACACACACCAUCUACAAUAGAUUUGUUUAUUUAAUUUUUUUUUAUAAAAGAGAGAGAGAGAGAGAGAGAGAGAGAGAGAGAGAGAGAGAGAGAGAGAGAGAGAGAGAGAGAGAGAGAGAGAGUAGUACGAAACCUGAGGCUCAAACUUGAAGACUGCAACCAAGUGACAUCCCUCUUAAUUCUCACUGAAACAAGGGGCGUGCAUUUUCAUUUCAGAUACUUUAUUCAAGAGAGAAAAUGUGCAAAACCGGUAUUUGCCUCUCCCAUUAAUAUAAGCUCGAGGCGGUUGAGGGGUGUACGUGGUGUGACGCACUUGAUUUGUUAACAAUUUGUCUUCUUCGGGAAGUAAAGCAAGAUGAACGCGCUGUUUGACUUUGAAUAUAAAUAAUAUCCAUUACUCUUAACCUUCCAACAGAAACAGCUGCAACAAUUGAAAAACGACAGAUUUCCGUGACGAAUAUAGCAUAUGAUCUGCCACUACAACAUCAUUCUUUGUUGCGAGAUUUCAGCUUCUAGCGUCACGGAUUCAAAAUUUUCGACACUUCGAGGGUGAACACGCUUCCCGAUUAUUUGGAGGCUACAAAUAUGUCUCAUCAAAUUUUACCUUCUCAUUUUGGACAGUAAACUUAAUAUUGUCGUCUUUUUCUAGAAAUGUGCAUACAAUAAUUGGAAGUUUGGUUAAAAAACUUUCUAUAUUGAAGUUUUCCCAUAUCAAAUCACAUGUUGUGCAGGCAAAUACAAUUCAUACCCUUUUUUUUUCCGUAAUAAAGAAAAUCGCAGCCAACCAUAUAGGUACAAUGGGUAAUCCUAAGCUCUCGUAUAACAGUUUGCAAAGCAUACGAGAGACGAAAACUACACUAGGCUAACUAUGUGUGAGAAGCUCAACCUAGCGUUGGCAUACAUAAGUAUUAACCACUAAUCGAAUAUCACCAACCGCAAUUAACGAAAAUCAAACACGUAAUCGAACAAUUUAAAAAAAAAAAUUUAACAAAAACCACAUGCGUUGAUUCAGAAUUUACGAUUAAAACCAAAAAAAAAGGUCUAAUUCCCGAGCAAAAAAUCGAUUUUCAUGCAGUCAUUAGCUUUUGAUUUUCAUUCCGAAACUCAAUUGGAUGUUGAAAAUAAGAAAACCAGCACGUACGAAGGUCAUUACCUCAUUGUCGGAGGCGGCGCCACCUGUUCCGUCGGCUCGCAGGCCGCAGCGCCAUCUCCUCCUCCUCCUCCUCCAUGUGUCUUCUUCGGUUUUU